UCCCGGCCAUCCACGCGGGGAUUGAGUCACUCGCACAAGGUCACGCGAAUCGCUGGCGCCGCCAGGAAUAGCACCCGGAGCCUCCCGGCUCUCUCGAGCCCACCCUCGGCACUCCAGCCCGAAUUCCCCUGGUCUGAGACUUCUUCAAGCAAUGUGUCCUGCAAGGUCGGUUCCACACUUUUCAGUGGUGCAUUUGUGGUUAUGGUGAAGCUUAGUCUUGUGUCACUUGUUUCAAUGCUGUGCAGAGCAAAGCAGCAGGCUUGCUGCUUCCUGCAAGUAACUGCAACCAGGAGAUGGAGGUUUGCCCUCUGGGAGGAAAACCAGGAAUGUCAUUAACAGGAAGUCGGGAGAAAAGGAACCUCUUGGCGGAGAGAGGGACAGUACAGAGAGGAGGAGAGGCAGGGACCAGGAUGCCUGUCAUAGGUGUCUUUUGUCUCCUUACGUCAUAACUUGAGAAAGUCUGGAAGCCAAAUCACCAAAGCUGCUGUUUUAAACUGUCUUUGAGUGGAAAGGAAAUCCAUGGGAUAUCCCUGCUUUAUUCUGUAUGAGUGCUUUCUAAGGCCCAUGUAGAUAACUGAUAUCCAUAAAACAAACAUGCAUUAGUUGUCAUUUGAAAUUACAUUUCUGCCUGUAUAUUUUCCUGCUUUCCUGUUUUGAUGGCCAAGUUUUUAUAAAACCUCAGCUUUUGGUUUUAUAUUUCUGAGCUGCACAUAUAUAUACCAGCUUCAGGGCAAUUGUGCACCACAUUUAUACACACAAAUAUCUGAUACCCGUGACACCCUGCAAUUGGGGUAGGAGCCCUCACUCAGCCUUUAAAGCUGGAGCCCAGCUGGGGGCUGCUGGGCCACUGUGCUGGUGCUGUGUGUGUGAGGGACAAUCACCUUUUACAUGACGUGAAAUUACAGCUGAUGAAACCUCCACCUGUGUAUAAUGUAGGUUAGAAGGAAAUCUGGAAUAGCUGGCAUGUUACAGUGAACUACAGUUUGUUCUGUUGGGGUCCCAGGGAUGGCUCGUUACUGCAAAUGCUGUUUCUCUCUGGAAAACCUUUACUUGCAGUAAAGAGGCAAACUGUAGUGAUUUGGCUGAAUGCAUAACAUCCCAAAAGUAACUCUGCAGUCCCUAAAGACAAGGCUGUUUGAGUCAGCUUUUAAUGAGAAGAAUACAAAGAAUUUGAUCCUUUAAAAAUCUAGCUUAAUUCAUUGUCUAAUUUUAGAGUACAGCUCCUCUACUACAGAUCCUAUCUGAGGGACAGCUCAGAAUCACUGAAGCCAAGGCCAACAUCCUAUCCCAUCCUGGUUUCACUAAAUCAGAUUUAUUUUGUUCCCCCAGUGGAUCU
RNAcentral lists this long non-coding RNA (1336 nucleotides) under Manacus vitellinus (golden-collared manakin). RNAcentral describes it as "lncRNA (ENSMVIG00005016493.1)". The record is from RNAcentral. Lineage: Eukaryota; Metazoa; Chordata; Aves; Passeriformes; Pipridae.